This 253-nucleotide ribosomal RNA is filed under the name uncultured bacterium. RNAcentral's name for it is "partial 16S ribosomal RNA". It matches the Rfam family "Bacterial small subunit ribosomal RNA", at positions 524 to 776 of the family's 1533-position model. The record is from RNAcentral.
UACGAAGGGGGCUAGCGUUGUUCGGAUUUACUGGGCGUAAAGGGCGCGUAGGCGGCGCACCAAGUCAGGCGUGAAGGCCCUGGGCUCAACCCGGGAAUUGCGCUUGAGACUGGUGUGCUCGAGUACGGGAGAGGAUAGUGGAAUUCCCAGUGUAGAGGUGAAAUUCGUAGAUAUUGGGAAGAACACCGGUGGCGAAGGCGGCUAUCUGGACCGUAACUGACGCUGAGGCGCGAAAGCGUGGGGAGCAAACAGG